Long non-coding RNA from Danaus plexippus (monarch butterfly), 941 nucleotides. RefSeq lists it as uncharacterized. The transcript has 2 exons. Lineage: Eukaryota; Metazoa; Arthropoda; Insecta; Lepidoptera; Nymphalidae. The record is from RefSeq and is a predicted model, not a curated record.
CAUAUAUUUAUUUUCAUUCAUAUACAUAAUAUACACGGUAAUGGUAUUUUUCUGUCCCUCUCAUUUUGAGCCUUGCAUGUCUAUUAUUACCUUCUUGCAUGAAUACAAAACUCUUUGCCUCCUUCACCGCGGUAAUUAUAAUAAAAUGAAACGUUCAUAAAUACCAAUUUGUCUGAAAAACUUAAAAAUCUUUUGCAAUCAAAAGAAUCACAAGUCAUAUCUAGCGAAAUUGACACAAACUUAAAUUGCAGUAGUAUUAUAUCAAUAGAGCAGUCGCCUUUCCUUUUAAGUCUUACCAGCUUGUAUGUAGUAGGUCUCAGCGGCCCGCAGGUCCCCCGCGGCGCGGAGGUCACUGGCCGCCUUCUUCCUCGUGGCCUGCAGCAGCGCUGGUCUAUGAGCCGCCACCAACCGCAGCAUUGACUCAUACUGAGAUGCUUCCUAAUAUUUUUACAACGAUUCAGCAAAACUGAAUAGCUGCGGUGAGCGCAUCGACCGUGCGACCAGCCUCUAUGAGAUGAGGCACAGCGGCGCCCGCCUGUCGCGAAGAUACAAGCCACGCCCCCCAUUCUCCUUCUAACCUGGUCACUUCACCGGGACAGGCCUGAAGAUUAAAAAAUAAUAUAAUAAAAUUAAAAAAAAAAAACAAAAUUCAAAUAAAGAACACCAACAUCUCUUGCUAGUUGGACCGCUCUUGCGUAGUUGUUGCCUCUAGAAUAGUAAUCCACCGCAGUUCUUAUAUCACCUUUACGCUCGGAUAUUUCACCAGCCAUUUCCCACCAUUCCUCCUGCAACGGAAACAAAUUAUAAACUUAUGUAUGUAAUAAUGCAUGUCUCUUAUUAGUGAAACAAUUUUUUUUUAUAUUUAUAAAGAAUUCAAGAUCAUUAUGUAUUAGAACAAAUAUAUUUGUGAUAGUUAUAGUAAUAAAAUUGGAUAUCUAUUA